Molecule: ribosomal RNA, 273 nt
Filed under: Triticum aestivum (bread wheat)
Lineage: Eukaryota; Viridiplantae; Streptophyta; Magnoliopsida; Poales; Poaceae
Description: partial small subunit ribosomal RNA
Source: RNAcentral
AUGGCUGAGGAUAGUGUGUGUGAGAUCUGCGGGAGAGGGAAUGAGGAUGAGCACCACACCGUUAUCGCAUGUACCAGAAGUUCAGCCCUACGGCAAGAAAUGAGAUCCUACUGGCAGCUGCCAAAGGAAUCUGUCCUCACAUACACAAGAGAGGACUGGUUACAGCUGUUGCUACUAUCUCAGGGAGAAGAAACUAGGACCAAGCUAAUGCUAAUUCUGUGGCAAGCUUGGAGCCUUAGAAACAAUGCGAUUCACGGUGACAGGAAGGAUACG